Long non-coding RNA from Monomorium pharaonis (pharaoh ant), 955 nucleotides. RefSeq lists it as uncharacterized. The transcript has 2 exons. The record is from RefSeq and is a predicted model, not a curated record. NCBI's taxonomy places the organism in Eukaryota, Metazoa, Arthropoda, Insecta, Hymenoptera, Formicidae.
AUAAUAAAUAAAUGAGUACUUUUAGUAAAUAACGUUAAUACAUUUCGGUUUUAUUAAAAUAAAACAGAAACGUGAAAAUAAAUAUCAAAAGAUACGAAAUUUCAGAAUUAAACUUCAACAAGUGAAUUUUUUACAGAGCGGAAGAGAAAAAGCAAGGAAGUUUGAUGAAGUCUGGCAAAACAAAUUGAAAGUCAGGGUCACCACAAUAUUCAGUGAAAUAUGUUCAAACCAAAGAUAUUUUUUGAAACUGUAUAAAUCUGUCAUUAUAACAUAUUAUAUUUAUUAUAACGUAUAUUGACAUUGAAUUGAUAUGAAGAGCAUUCUGGUAUAGCACGACUAUUCAAGCUGUCCAUAAAAGAAAAGGGUCAGAGAUAGAAAAUGUCAUGCGGAAUAUAAAAAAGAACAAUAAACGUAAAAAGAUAUUGGUCUGUUUUGAUGGAACGACAACUGUAUCAGUCAUAGAUGGAAACUCGAUUAAUGGCUAACAGGUUGGAAAAAUAGGAUAAAUUUUUCAGUUUUUCAAAUUUUAUUGCUUGUUCAUGUGUUAUAUACUUCAGAGACUGAAUUUCAGAUUAUAAGAUUGACAGAUUAAUAUUACAAGACUAACAGCGUUUCAAUAGUUUUCCAUAACAACACAUGCGAUAAAUUAUUUUGGUUAAUUAUGCCUUAACGACGAUAAUAAAUAAUGUCACGAUUAUAAUUUAUUAAUUUGUUAUUAAAUUAAUAUAAUUUGUUAAAUAAAUAAUCAAGUUAUAUUAAAUAGGAUAAAAUAUAUGAAAAGAUCGAUUUUGUUGAAGUAUAUUAAAAAUUAGACCAGAUACAGAAUUAAAGAUAAUUAUGAUGAAAACUCGAUUAAUAGAUAAAACGUUGGAAAAUAAGUUGUUUUAUUAUUUAUCCAAGUGCCUCAAAAACUGAAUACCAGAUCAUGAAAUUAAUUGACAGAUUGAUAUUACGA